AAACAAUAAUGAUGCUUGGGUCCCACCUGGAGAUUCUGAUACGGUUGGUCUGGCAGCGGGGCCUAGGAGUUGGGAGUAUUAAAAUCUCAGGUGAUCUUAAUGCAGUCAAGAAGACCCACUCCCACGGGUUAGAUUGUUUGCUUAAUUUGCAUCCUAUCAGGAGGCAGGUAAUGUCACACUGAUCCAUUGUUUGUGAUGCUAAACUCAGUCACUGGAUUGAGGUGGUCACCACCAGACCUCUCCAUCACAAAGGAGGCCUCUCCAUGGCUCUCCUUUGUAAAGCUCUCACCCUUUGCUGAGGCAAGGGCCCUAUUGGAGAGGCCCACAUGGCAAGGAACUGAGGACAGCCUCUGGCCAGCAGCCAGCAGGGAACUGAGGCCCUGAGUCCAACAACCCAUAUGGAAUUAAAUGUGCCACCAUCCACUGAGUGAGUGUGCGGGCAGAUCCUUCCAGGUUGAACUCAGAUGAGACUGCAGACGCUGGCCCAACACCUGGAUUACAAGCUUGCGACAGAUCAUGAAGCAGAGGACUCAGUGAAGAUGUGCCUGGGUUCCUGACACGGAAACGAUGAGAUAAUGAAUAUCUGUUGUUUUUUGAUGCCCAGUGUUGGAGUAAUUCAUUAUGCAGCAGUAGAUAGCUAAUACAGCGCCUUGCUUGGUUUCCUCCCAUUCUUUGUCU
RNAcentral lists this long non-coding RNA (678 nucleotides) under Equus asinus (donkey). RNAcentral's name for it is "lncRNA (ENSEASG00005027733.1)". Lineage: Eukaryota; Metazoa; Chordata; Mammalia; Perissodactyla; Equidae. The record is from RNAcentral.